Molecule: ribosomal RNA, 465 nt
Filed under: Vreelandella stevensii
Lineage: Bacteria; Pseudomonadati; Pseudomonadota; Gammaproteobacteria; Oceanospirillales; Halomonadaceae
Description: partial 16S ribosomal RNA
Rfam family: Bacterial small subunit ribosomal RNA
Source: RNAcentral
CCUACGGGAGGCAGCAGUGGGGAAUAUUGGACAAUGGGGGCAACCCUGAUCCAGCCAUGCCGCGUGUGUGAAGAAGGCCCUCGGGUUGUAAAGCACUUUCAGUGAGGAAGAACGCCUGGUGGUUAAUACCCAUCAGGAAAGACAUCACUCACAGAAGAAGCACCGGCUAACUCCGUGCCAGCAGCCGCGGUAAUACGGAGGGUGCGAGCGUUAAUCGGAAUUACUGGGCGUAAAGCGCGCGUAGGUGGCUUGAUAAGCCGGUUGUGAAAGCCCCGGGCUCAACCUGGGAACAGCAUCCGGAACUGUCAAGCUAGAGUGCAGGAGAGGAAGGUAGAAUUCCCGGUGUAGCGGUGAAAUGCGUAGAGAUCGGGAGGAAUACCAGUGGCGAAGGCGGCCUUCUGGACUGACACUGACACUGAGGUGCGAAAGCGUGGGUAGCAAACAGGAUUAGAUACCCCGGUAGUC